AGGGGUGACUAGUGACAGAGUGAGGAAGGGGGUGACUAGUGACAGAGAGAGGAGUGACUAGGGACAGAGUGAGGGAGGUGGUGACUAGUGACUAGUGACAGUCACCACCUCCCUCACUCUGUCACUAGUCACCACCUCCCUCACUCUGUCACCAGUCAUCCCCUCACUCUGUCACUAGUCACCCCUUCCUUCCCUCACUUUGUCACCUGUCACCCCUUCACUCUGUCACUAGUCACCCCCU
This is a non-coding RNA of Pelobates cultripes (western spadefoot toad), 241 nucleotides long. The record is from the annotation of a GenBank genome assembly. NCBI's taxonomy places the organism in Eukaryota, Metazoa, Chordata, Amphibia, Anura, Pelobatidae.